Molecule: small nuclear RNA, 107 nt
Filed under: Cebus imitator (Panamanian white-faced capuchin)
Lineage: Eukaryota; Metazoa; Chordata; Mammalia; Primates; Cebidae
Source: RNAcentral
GUGCUCGCUUCGGCAGCACAUAUACUAAAAUUGGAACGAUACAGAGAAGAUUAGCAUGGCCCCUGCACAAGGAUGAUAUGCAAAUUCGUGAAGCAUUCCAUAUUUUA